RNAcentral lists this long non-coding RNA (210 nucleotides) under Dromaius novaehollandiae (emu). Its description in RNAcentral is "lncRNA (ENSDNVG00000016764.1)". The record is from RNAcentral. Lineage: Eukaryota; Metazoa; Chordata; Aves; Casuariiformes; Dromaiidae.
UCUGAAGCUGUUACUUCUGAGCCACAUUAAACAUCUGAUAAGCUCUCCAUGUCAUAAGAAAAGGAUAAAAAUUGCAAGAAGUUUCAAAGUGCUUGAGCUAUAAAAUUGGAUGUACUCUGGAUGUUAAAAGAACCUAGAGAAUGUUUCAGUGGUCUGGAAAUGAGUCUCUUAAUAUGUGCUUGUGGAUCUUGCUGGUUUCACUGUUUCCUG